RNAcentral lists this unclassified non-coding RNA (201 nucleotides) under Hevea brasiliensis (rubber tree). Lineage: Eukaryota; Viridiplantae; Streptophyta; Magnoliopsida; Malpighiales; Euphorbiaceae. The record is from RNAcentral.
GAAGUAGACUUUCUGAAGCUGAAGGUGAGCUUGUUUCGUGACCCAUAUGACAUAAACAAUGAUUCAUUUCUAAGUUUAUUACCUUCUCUAGUGUGUUUCCCCCCCUCAAUUAUUUUGCUGUUAUUGGAGUUCCAAAUUUUGACUCAAUACUUGGACGAUUCUCACCGAAGUGGAAAUUGAGGAGUUGCCACUUUAAUUUUG